UUAAAGAGUUCUAUAACUCCCAAACCCAUGUGAACAUACCUAACGUUGCCUCGGCAGGUCGCACCUACCUUGUAGCACCCUACCCUGUAGGGCCUACCCGGGAGGUGCGGGUAAGCCUGCCGGCGGCCCACCAAACUCUGUUUGAUAUUGAAUUCUGAACCUAUAACUAAAUAAGUUAAAACUUUCAACAACGGAUCUCUUGGUUCUGGCAUCGAUGAAGAACGCAGCGAAAUGCGAUAAGUAAUGUGAAUUGCAGAAUUCAGUGAAUCAUCGAAUCUUUGAACGCAUAUUGCGCCCAUUAGUAUUCUAGUGGGCAGGACCGUUCGAGCGUCAUUUCAACCCUUAAGCCUUCGUUGCUUAGUGUUGGGAGCCUACGGCAACGUAGCUCCUCAAAGUUAGUGGCGGAGUUAGUUCACACUCUAGACGUAGUAAUUUUUUAUCUCGCCUAUUAGUUGGACUAAUCCCCUGCCGUAAAACCCCCAAUUUAUCAAGGUUGACCUCGAAUCGGUUCAGACAAACUCGCUAAAUUGAAGCAUCUUAGUCAGCGAAGGAAAAGAAACCAACAGGGAUUGCCCUAGUAACGGCGAGUGAAGCGGCAACAGCUCAAAUUUGAAAUCUGGCCCUCGGGUCC
RNAcentral lists this ribosomal RNA (631 nucleotides) under fungal endophyte. RNAcentral describes it as "eukaryotic LSU rRNA". The stretch from base 180 to 333 matches the Rfam family "5.8S ribosomal RNA". The record is from RNAcentral. Lineage: Eukaryota; Fungi.